RNAcentral lists this long non-coding RNA (666 nucleotides) under Homo sapiens (human). RNAcentral describes it as "HSALNT0233307". The record is from RNAcentral. Lineage: Eukaryota; Metazoa; Chordata; Mammalia; Primates; Hominidae.
CCCAGAGUGAAAGACAGAGGAACCAAUCGAGGCUCGGCUGACCUCAGACGUCUAAGGCGAUAGGCGUUGCUAAGAAAAGGGGGUGGGACGAUACCCAGUUGCCAAGACGACGGCUUCCGGGUGGGCGGCUUGAGGUGGCUUCCGGCCGCCAGGCGAGACUCCGCGGGAAAACUCCCUGCUAGAGAGACUAGGAGAUUUGGGGCUGCGGCCGUUUCCUCCGGAGCACCCACGGGACUGUGUGCUGGGGUCCCUCCACCGGCUGUGUCCUUUAUUCUUCUUUCUCACCCAACGAUUUACCUGAACGGUUAUAAAGUGCACGUUAUUUCCCUAAGCACUUUGAGUAUAUUGGCCCACUGCAUUCUGGACUUCAAAAUUUCUGAUGCGAAAUAUGCUGAUACUUUUGUUGAAGAAAUCUGGUCCUUCUUACUGAUGUGUUGCUCUUCUUCAUGGCUCGUGAAAACUAUUAGAGUCAUCCAAGCUUACAAUCUGAAGGUGUCCGUUCCUACACUGGUCAGACCACUGUCCUUGGGGCAGCUGGGGUCUUUGGGACCCUCCACCGGGCUCGCCGGUCCGUCGGACUUUUGGCUGAGAUCCGUGUCAGACUCCUCCGAAUAGUCGUCUGUUGGCAUCGAGGGCUGAACCCCUGAGGUGCUGCAUGAACUUGAG